CGAUGUGAGGGCGAUCUGGCUGUGACAUCUGUCACCCCAUUGAUCGCCGGGUUGAUUGAGCUGAUCUGGCUGGCUAAGCGGGUGUCCCCUUACUCCCCCAUUGCUCCAUGUGCGUCCCUCUCAAAGCUGUGCACUCUAAAUAAAUGGCGCUGGGAAAAUUGCCUACCCACACACAUGACACCGAAGCCAGACCCACGUUUCUUGUCACGUACUGGACUAAGUCCAAAAUACAUCAACCAUCUAGAUAUUAAAAUGGAAAGUCUUAAUCUUCU
Molecule: small nuclear RNA, 272 nt
Filed under: Octodon degus (degu)
Lineage: Eukaryota; Metazoa; Chordata; Mammalia; Rodentia; Octodontidae
Description: 7SK RNA (ENSODEG00000023000.1)
Rfam family: 7SK RNA
About the family: 7SK was discovered as an abundant small nuclear RNA in the mid-70s but a possible function has only recently been suggested. Two independent studies have found that 7SK RNA binds the CDK9/cyclin T complex (known as elongation factor P-TEFb).
Source: Rfam by way of RNAcentral